GACGAACGCUGGCGGCGUGCCUAAUACAUGCAAGUCGAGCGAAGUUUUUCUGGUGCUUGCACUAGAAAAACUUAGCGGCGAACGGGUGAGUAACACGUAAAGAACCAGCCUCAUAGACUGGGACAACUAUUGGAAACGAUAGCUAAUACCGGAUAACAGUAUUUCUCGCAUGAGAGAUAUUUAAAAGUUGGUUAUGCUAACACUAUGAGAUGGCUUUGCGGUGCAUUAGCUAGUUGGUGGGGUAAAGGCCCACCAAGGCGACGAUGCAUAGCCGACCUGAGAGGGUGAUCGGCCACACUGGGACUGAGACACGGCCCAGACUCCUACGGGAGGCAGCAGUAGGGAAUCUUCCGCAAAGGGCGAAAGCCUGACGGAGCAACGCCGCGUGAGUGAAGAAGGAUUUCGGUUCGUAAAGCUCUGUUGUUAGGGAAGAAUGGAUAUGUAGUAACUAUACAUGUAAGAGACGGUACCUAACCAGAAAGCCACGGCUAACUACGUG
This 499-nucleotide ribosomal RNA is filed under the name uncultured bacterium. RNAcentral describes it as "partial 16S ribosomal RNA". It matches the Rfam family "Bacterial small subunit ribosomal RNA", at positions 28 to 507 of the family's 1533-position model. The record is from RNAcentral.